This is a long non-coding RNA of Apaloderma vittatum (bar-tailed trogon), 470 nucleotides long. RefSeq lists it as uncharacterized. The record is from RefSeq and is a predicted model, not a curated record. NCBI's taxonomy places the organism in Eukaryota, Metazoa, Chordata, Aves, Trogoniformes, Trogonidae. The transcript is spliced from 3 exons.
GUUCUUAUGGACACUACGAAGUGGCUGAGCUCCUGGUGAGGCACGGUGCUUCUGUCAACGUGGCAGACCUGUGGAAAUUCACUCCUCUGCAUGAAGCAGCAGCAAAAGGAAAAUAUGAAAUCUGCAAGCUGCUUUUAAAACAUGGAGCUGAUCCAACAAAGAAGAAUCGAGAUGGUAACACUCCUCUAGAUUUGGUGAAAGAAGGAGACACAGAUAUCCAGGAUUUACUGCGAGGAGAUGCUGCCUUGCUGGAUGCUGCUAAGAAGGGAUGCCUGGCACGAGUGCAGAAGCUAUGUACCCAAGAAAAUAUCAAUUGCAGAGACACCCAGGGAAGAAAUUCAACACCACUACAUCUUGCAGCUGGUUACAACAAUUUGGAAGUAGCUGAAUACCUUCUUGAACAUGGUGCUGAUGUUAAUGCCCAGGACAAAGGAGGAUUAAUCCCCCUACACAAUGCAGCAUCCUAUGGG